CCUACGGGUGGCAGCAGUGGGGGAUAUUGCACAAUGGGGGGAACCCUGAUGCAGCGACGCCGCGUGGGUGAAGGAGUGCUUCGGCAUGUAAAGCCCUAUCGGCAGGGAAGAAGCAAGAGGGAACUGGACCAAGAAGCCCGGGCAAAAUACGGGCCAGCAGCCGCGGUAAUACGUAGGGGGCGAGCGUUAUCCGGAUUCACUGGGGGUAAAGGGAGCGUAGACGGCCAUGCAAGCCAGGGGUGAAAGCCCGGGGCCCAACCCCGGGACUGCCCUUGGAACUGUGCGUCGAGAGUGCGGGAGAGGCAGGCGGAAUUCCUGGUGUAGCGGUGAAAUGCGUAGAUAUCAGGAGGAACACCGGCGGCGAAGGCGGCCUGCUGGACCGUGACUGACGUUGAGGCUCGAAAGCGUGGGGAGCGAACAGGAUUAGAUACCCUAGUAGUC
This 441-nucleotide ribosomal RNA is filed under the name uncultured bacterium. RNAcentral's name for it is "partial 16S ribosomal RNA". It matches the Rfam family "Bacterial small subunit ribosomal RNA", at positions 338 to 795 of the family's 1533-position model. The record is from RNAcentral.